UUUCUUGUGGUGUAAUGGAUAGCACGUUGGCCUUUGAAGCCGAAGAUUGAGGUUCGAUCCCUCACUAGAAAA
This is a non-coding RNA of Tritrichomonas musculus, 72 nucleotides long. The record is from the annotation of a GenBank genome assembly. NCBI's taxonomy places the organism in Eukaryota, Parabasalia, Tritrichomonadida, Tritrichomonadidae.